AAGAGACUGUACAAAAACCUGAACACAGAUAUCUGACUCCUCUUCAAAGAGGAGGGAAGUGGUAUUCAAACCACAGCUUCAUAUCAGAUGGAUUCUGCUAAUUCCUCUUUUAUCAGAGUCACUGUGGUUACAGCUGCUACAACAUACAGUGAUAUGAGAGGAGGAACAGGCUGAGGGAGGAGCAACACUGUCAAAGAGCAGGACAGACAACAACUCCCACUGUCAGAUGCAUUCAAUAUCUAAAGCAUACAUAACACAGAUACUGUGUGUAAGAUGCUCUCACUGCUUUACUGUGGAAUGUUUCCUUUGGUUCUCAUCAUACUAAAAGGUGUCAGCUGUACACAACUGACUCCAGUCAAGGAUGAAGAGUUCAGUUCAGAAGGCAGCUCUGUUACUCUGUCCUACACAUACUCCAAAAAAGCAACUAAUGAAAAUUUCUUCUGGUAUCGACAACAUCCAGGAAAACCACCACAGUUCCUCAUCUCUCACACAGGGAAAGGACAAGAAAUAUCAUCAGGUCCAGUCUCUGAACUGACUGUUACUGUGAGUCGGGAUCAAACCCAAAUGGAUCUGCAGAUCUCCUCUGCUGCAGUGACAGACUCUGCUGUGUACUACUGUGCUGUGAAGCCCACAGUGACAGGAAACAGCACAACUCUGUACAAAAACCUUUGGAGCAAAGACAACAGAAUACUCCACAACAUCCACUAGAGGGAGUCACACACUGUUCAACUUCAAUGGUUUCUUGUGAUCCAGUCUGGAUGCUUUUUACUCAUGAGACACAGCUGUGAUGAAGAGCUUUAGAAAUGAAGAUAAUCUGACACCAGUCUCCUCCUACUGACCUGUAGAGGAGGCUGUUUGGCAGAGAAC
Molecule: non-coding RNA, 867 nt
Organism: Toxotes jaculatrix (banded archerfish)
Lineage: Eukaryota; Metazoa; Chordata; Actinopteri; Toxotidae
Source: the annotation of a RefSeq genome assembly